Molecule: ribosomal RNA, 252 nt
Filed under: Rubus arcticus (Arctic raspberry)
Lineage: Eukaryota; Viridiplantae; Streptophyta; Magnoliopsida; Rosales; Rosaceae
Description: 5.8S ribosomal RNA
Rfam family: 5.8S ribosomal RNA (bases 6-161)
About the family: 5.8S ribosomal RNA (5.8S rRNA) is a component of the large subunit of the eukaryotic ribosome. It is transcribed by RNA polymerase I as part of the 45S precursor that also contains 18S and 28S rRNA.
Source: RNAcentral
UAAACGACUCUCGGCAACGGAUAUCUCGGCUCUCGCAUCGAUGAAGAACGUAGCGAAAUGCGAUACUUGGUGUGAAUUGCAGAAUCCCGUGAACCAUCGAGUCUUUGAACGCAAGUUGCGCCCAAAGCCAUUAGGCCGAGGGCACGCCUGCCUGGGCGUCACACGUCGUUGGCCCCCCAACCCCCUCGGGAGUUGGGUGGGACGGAUGAUGGCCUCCCGUGUGCUCUGUCAUGCGGUUGGCAUAAAAAACAA